RNAcentral lists this long non-coding RNA (1075 nucleotides) under Anser brachyrhynchus (Pink-footed goose). RNAcentral's name for it is "lncRNA (ENSABRG00000018112.1)". Lineage: Eukaryota; Metazoa; Chordata; Aves; Anseriformes; Anatidae. The record is from RNAcentral.
GCCGAGCCCCCCCCCCGCGCCCCCCGCCUGCCCGAGGGCGACGAUUUCCUCUCCCUGCACGCCGACUCCGACGACGAGGGCGACUUCGGCGCCGACAGCCAGCCCGAGCCGCGCUGGAAGAGCGGCGCCGACCUGCGCCGCAAGAUCCUGGCCCAGCGCCGCCCGCGCUCCCCGGCCAGCGCCGGCUCGCGGAAGAAGGCCAAGAGGUCGCGGGAGCGCUCCUGGGGGGGCGGCGCCAAGCCCCCCCCCGAACCCCCCCCGGCGCCGGCCAAGAGCAAGGAGCGGCGGCGCCGGGGGGGGUCCCGCUCGCGGUCGCGCCGCCGGUCCUGGUCGCGGGGCCGGCGGUCGCGGUCGCGGGGGGAGAAGCGGCGGCGGCGGCGGUCGGGCAGCGGCGAGCGGCCCCCCCGGCGCCCGCGGCACAAGGACAAGCACCGGGGCGCCGAGGGGGGGGGCAAGAAGAAGAAGAAGCAGCGCUCGCGCUCCCGCUCCCGCCGCCCCGCCGCCUCCCGCCGCCCGCACCCCUCGCACCCCGCGGCCUCGUCGUCGUCGUCGUCGCGGCACGAGGGCAAGGCGGAGAAGGGCCCCCGGCGCGGGGGGGGCGCGGUGGUGCCCCCCUCCAUCCAGGAGCUGAACGACGCCGACCUCUUCGCCAUCAAGCGCACCAUCACCGUGGGGCGGCGCGAGGGCUCGCCCGAGGCCGGGCGGCCGCGGCAGCCCCCCCAGCAGCGCGAGGUGCUCUACGACUCCGAGGGGCUCAGCUUCGAGGGGGGGUCGGACCGCGAGGCCGCCCCCCGGCAGCCGCCCCCCCCCGCGGCCCCCAGCCCGGCCGGCGGCGGCGGCGACGCCAAGGCGGCCAAGGAGAAGGAUCGGAAGCGCGGGCACGGCGAGGAGCGGGCCGGGGGGCGCGAGAGGCACAAGAAGCGGGCGCGGGAGGCCCCCGGCGAGGCCGCCAGGAAGGAGAAGGCGGCGGCGGCCCCGAGCCCGGCCCCGGCCCCGGCCCCGCGCCGCGCCAAGGGCGGCCCCAAGGAGCCCGGCGAGCCCAAGGGCGCCCCGGCGCGCAGGGUGAAGCUGCAGU